Molecule: non-coding RNA, 4656 nt
Organism: Heterocephalus glaber (naked mole-rat)
Lineage: Eukaryota; Metazoa; Chordata; Mammalia; Rodentia; Bathyergidae
Source: RefSeq, a predicted model, not a curated record
AGAUGAAGAAAUUAAUGGAAAGCCUUGCAGCUAUACGGGGCCCAGAAGUGUUAGGGAGAUUAGGGCUGUAAGGACAGCACGGUCCAGAUGUCCAGAGGUAACCAGAACACUGUGGACCUUACAUCAGCUGAGAAGUGACCUUGAGAAUGGGAACAUCCAGAAACACAGCGAUGGCCAGCAGUGGGGCAGGCAGUGGCCCUGCUGCAGUGAUGAAGGAGAGGCUGGACGAGAGCAGGGAGACAGGGCCAUUUUGGUGAGAAUACUCCAUGUCAGAUACCUGCUGGGCCUGCUGGGAGAUAGAGAGAAGAAACCUUAAACUACAAGCCCAGGCCCUAAAAAAGUGCAGAAUGGAGAUGGAAGUGCAAAGGCUAUAACACAUCAAUAUUUUCAAUUCCACAAAUAUUUAUUAAGCACUGACUAAGUGCCAGGUAUUGUUUCAGGAUCUGGGGAUUUAUCAAUGAAAUAAAGCAGCAAAAAUCCUUGCCUUUCCAGAGGUUACUCAGAAGAGAAGAUAAUUAAGGAAAAUACAACAUUUGGCAUAGUAAUUACUGAUAUGCUAUAGUUAUAGCAGGAAAAUGAUAGAAAAUGUGUGUGUUGCACUUUUAGAUUGAAAAUAGAGGAAAAUCAUUAGGAAUGUGUGGUUUAGUAAAAUUGUAAAAUGAAAGAAGUGAAACAUGGGGGUGAAACACACAUGGGGAUGCAGGUGGGAAUGCUUCAUAGCAAGUGCAGGGGCUCAGAGGCCAGAGAGUUCCAGGCGUGUUCAAGCAAAGGUAAUUAGGCCAUUUCCAUGGCUAAAGCCAAGAAAAGCAAGGCAGAGUGGUAGAGAAUGAUACUGGCAAAGUUGGGACAGGAAACAAAUCACAUGGAGCCAUAGAGACUUCAGUAGGAAACUUUACUUUUGCUCUGAGUUAUAUAGAAGACUAAUGAAGGCUUUGAGGUAACAAAAGUUGGCCUACAUUUUAAUAGGAUCAUUCAGGAUGCUGUGCUGAAAAUAAAAGAUCAGUAAAGAAUGCAGAGAGACUAUUCAGGGGUUGUGCAAUAAUCCAGGUGAGAUAUAGUGGCUUGGACCAAAGUGAAGUAGAAGUGAUGUGUAGCAGCCAGAUUCUUCAUAUACAAGUAGAGUAAAUGUUGUCAAAAGGUUUUACUUAUGGGUUGGGUAUAGGAUAUGAGAUGAGGAAAGGAGUAGAGGAUUCCUACAUAUUUAGUAUUUAGCCUGAGCAUUUGAAAGAAUACAACUGUUCUGUGCUGUGGUGAGAAGUGUAGGAAGGGCAGUGUCUUACUCACUCAUCACUGGGAUAAAUACCUGACAUCCACAGUUUAAAGGAGGAGGGGUUUAUUUUGGCUCACAUUUUCAGUUCAUGGUCAACUGACUCCAAGCCAGAAAUGGCAUGGUGGAAGGGUCUAUCAGAUGAAAACUGCUCAUAUAUCAUGGUGGGCAGGAAACAGCUAAGGGAGGACCUAGGAAAGGAGAUACUUCCAGUCAUGUUCUCAUUGACCUGACUCUCACCAGGCCCAUUUCCUAACAGCAAGUCAGUUAUGAACUCAUCAGUGGACUUAUCUACUGAUGAGUAUAGCACCCCCAUGAUCCAAUCAUCUUCCAAAUACACAUGGCUUUUGGGCAGCACUCCAGGUCUAAACCAUAAUAGGCAGGUGGUGUAAUGAAGUGAUGGGAGCUCAGGCUUGAACAACCUAAUGUGGCAUGCAUAUUAAACAUCCAAGUGUGGAUGUGUGCUCAUUUGCACCCAAGACCUUCGAUGACUCUUUGAAUUGAAAUGAAUCAAUUAAUGUAAAAAAAUGUUGAAAAUUCUUAGAGGUGACAGAUGGUUAAAACCAUUGAUAUCACUGAUGUUGCUUACAAGUUCCAGUUCAAUAAACUCAUGGAGGUGAAGGUGUUCAAUGUGCUAAGUUCCUAAGUAGAGUAGCAAGCAUGGAGUCAGAGAAAAAAUGCUUCUGAAAAACAAUCUUGGGGACUCAUGGCUCUUAAAAAGGAAACAUUAAUAUGAUACACUUAGAUAGACUGUCUUGUUCUCUGGGGUAACCAAUAAGCCUUCUGAAGCUUGCAAUGAGUUAAUGUACUUUAAUGUUCCUCUUUGAUUUUCAUCAUUUGAAAGAUCAAGAUGGGCCAUAUUCGGUUAAUAAUAUUGCACAGGUUGAGAAGGCUUUUGCUUCAAGACUGCUGAAAAAUCUGCUUUUGCUGUUUACUCUUCUUUCCAUCAUAGUUUAAAUGGGUUGUCAAAAAUUUCUCAAAAGAUGACCUAGAUUAUACAGUGCUGUGCUUCAAAUAAUGUUUUGAGACCAACAGAAUAAGUCUGAUUCUAUUAAUGGUAUAAAGAUACAAAACCCAGUAAGGCAGAUUUUUCAGGGACCAUAUGUCUCACUCAGGUCACAUAAAUUUAACUACACUUUGAAAAUCCAGAAGAGUUCUUGCAUCUCAACCCAAAAGAGUUAUAAUUUACUCCAUAAUAGAGGUGUAUCAAUUAUGUGGAUUUCUGAGGCCAUUAAUUAGGUUUUUUUCACUGAUAUUACUAUAGUUGUAGGUAGAGGAAGUCUUUUUCUAGAUGAUUAAAGAGUUUGGAAGUGUUUGCAAAUCAAAAGGUAUUUUUGAACCCUAUAGAAGGCAUAGAAUUUAAAACAUAAGACAAGUUAAGGGAUAAUUUCUGUAAGGUCCUUAUACUUGAAUACACUCUUAUUUUAUGAUUCAAAUCUCAGAGAAUUCUGAUUUCUAAAUAGUGAUUCACAUAUUUACAGGUACAAUGUUGUGUCUGAGGAGAUGUGGACAGUAGGAAGUGAUUGGGUACUUGGAAACUGAUAUUUAAUGGGACUGGGAGUGCCAUCAGAGGAUUUCAUAUCUACCUUAGAACAGAGAUUUUCAAACUGGAUUGCAACCUAUUAGGCAAAAAUUAAAUGUAGUGGGGUGUGUUGGCAUUAAAAAUGAAAGAAAUAGAAUAAAAUGUCAGCGUGCUUCAGCUGUUGUGAGUAUAGUCUGUAAAAUUUUCUUUCGGAUAUAUGUUUGGAUACACUGGUUCACCACAUAAAUUGUGUAUUUUACUCUGAAUCAUGUUUAAAAUAUUUUUGAAGGCCAUCUCUAAAAUUAAACUGUGAAAAUGAACUCUCUUAGGCCCUGGACCAAAUGGUAAGCAGCAUGUAAAAGCUUAGGAGCUUAUUUAGCUGUUUACACCAAAGGCCACUUACCCAGUCUUACUUUGUAGGUGCUUCUACAAUGAAAAAGGGACAGGACAUUUUGCUUCCCAGUGAGAUCUUCAAGGCAAUCAUGAAUAAUUACUGCUUUCUAAAGUUCUCUCAUACUAAUAGCAAGUACAUUUGUGAAGAAGGCAUUUUGUAAAUGUGAAAUAGGUAAGUGGUGUGCAGUAACAUUUGGAUAUUGUAUUUCCCUUUUGUUUGCAGCAGUUUUAUCACGAGUCAUUCCAUUUCCAUUGAUUCUGAUAAGUGAAGUGGUUUGUAUAUGUAAUUUCAUUUUAUUGAUCAGUACAUUCUCUUUAUGGAUAAUUAGGCCUUAUGUAAGAGCAGCAGUGAGAAUUAAAUUUUCUGAUAGAAAAAGACCUAUUUUUCCCAGCUGGUACUUAAAAGUAUAUCUGUGUACUUUCCAGACCUGUAAGCAGGAGAAAUUGUUCUUCCUUUUAUUUUCUAACUGCUGGGCUUUCGGCCUACAGCUGGCCUUUUGCUUUGUUGGAGAAGGGAAUCACUGAAGACUAACAAGUAGUUUAUUUUCUCCUGCUGACUCUGAUCCUAUACUGGUGGGAGGAAAAAGUCCCAGAUAAAGAAUGAGCAGCUGAGUGCUUUGUAUCAGGAGGUGCCAGUUUGUGGCUCUAUGGUCUUCCAUCCCAGAGAACUCUUGGGAGAAUUUAAUACUUAUCAUCCAAAAGUUCUGCUGCUUUAUUCUGUUGUAUGUUUAUUAGAAUAUAAACUCCAUGAUGGUAGGAAUUGGUUUACUAUCUCUUUGCACCUGGGACUGUAUUUGGGACAUAAAAAGUAACCAAUAUAAUUGUUUAGGGAUUUCAAAGGUACCAUCCCCAAAUCAGCAGCAUCAGACUUUGAGUAACAAAUUCUAGAGCCCUGAGUCUAAUCUAUGGAAUUGAGAACUCCUGGGGAUCAGCUGGUUUCAAUAAGCCCCCAGGUGAUUCUUACUGGCAUUACAGUUUAAAACUACAGGUUUAAAUACUCCUUAAAUUAGGGAGUUCUGGAGAGUUUUGCGUUUCUUCUCACUAGUGGGUUUUCUUAUUUAGCUUUGUGACUAAGGCUUCUUAGAGUGGGUCAGAAAAGAUGAGAAUGCAUCUUUUUUAUAUAUAUAAACCAGUGAGCUAGUCUCUUGAAAUACCCCACUGGUGUUUUCUGAAGACUUAAUUUAUAUGAUCUGGCUCUCCUGUUAUUCCUACGAAGAAAAGAAUUCUAAAGGGAAAGUGAUCAACCUAUACCAGGUACCAGCUACAGCUAACUGCACCUGCAAGAAGCUCAGAAAAGGCUUCUUCGAGAAUGACUCAAAAGAUUAUUCCUGAAAGGUCACCGAAGAAGGGGGGCACACAAGGACGUUCAAGCAAGCUUUAUUGGGGCGGCAGUCGCAGCCUGCCAGGCUGACUCACAGAAUGGAGACCAGCAACUGUACGGGCUGAGCUGGAGGCUUAUAUAGGGAUCUUGCAG